Molecule: RNA transcript, 1587 nt
Organism: Numida meleagris (helmeted guineafowl)
Lineage: Eukaryota; Metazoa; Chordata; Aves; Galliformes; Numididae
Gene: SUMF2
Gene name: sulfatase modifying factor 2
Exons: 9
Source: RefSeq, a predicted model, not a curated record
AAGUGCAUCCCUUUCUCCCGGAAGCACUUCCCCAGCCUGCAGCGAUUCUGGGUCGGAGCGCUGCGGUUCCGCUGCUGAUGCGUUGUGCUCUUGGCGCUGCUCUGCUGGUUGCUGCUAGGCUGUGUUCCCGGGGGAUGCACGCAGCGUUGGUGCUUUGCUGCUGCGUGCUGGGCUGCAGCUGCGCUGUGCUGGCACUGGGAAGCGAUGAGCACAUGGUGCAGCUGCCUGGGGGGAAGUUCCAGAUGGGCUCCAGCUCCAUGCAGAGCAGAGACGAGGAGGGACCCAUCCGGGAGGUGACAGUGAAACCCUUCGCUAUUGACAAGUUCCCCGUCACCAACAGGGACUUCAGGGAGUUUGUUAGAGAAAAGAAAUACAAAACUGAAGCAGAAGCAUUUGGCUGGAGCUUUGUCUUUGAGGAUUUCGUAUCGGAAGAGCUGAAAAAAAAAGUCACCCAAAAACUGGAGUCUGCUCCUUGGUGGCUGCCAGUUGAGAAGGCUUUUUGGCGACAGCCCGCAGGUCCCGGCUCUGGCAUCGCGGACAGACUGGACCACCCAGUGCUGCACGUGAGCUGGAACGACGCGCAGGCGUUCUGCAGCUGGAAGGGGAAGAGGCUCCCAGCUGAGGAGGAGUGGGAGUUCGCUGCCCGGGGAGGGCUGCAGCGCUGUAUCCCUGGGGAAACAAGUUCCAGCCAAACCGCACCAACCUGUGGCAGGGUGACUUCCCAAGGGGGGACACGGCCGAGGAUGGCUAUCACGGCGUGUCUCCGGUGGCUGCAUUCUCACCUCAGAACAGUUAUGGGCUCUACGACCUUCUGGGGAACACCUGGGAGUGGACGGCCUCACAGUAUGUGGCACCGGGCCCUCCCCGGCCGCGUGCUGAAGCGAUGCGUGUGCUGAGAGGGGCCUCAUGGAUUGACACUGUGGAUGGGUCUGCAAACCACCGGGCUCGCGUCACCACCAGGAUGGGGAACACACCAGACUCAGCCUCCGACAACCUCAGCUUCCGCUGUGCUGCCGACAUCCCGAGUCGCACCACCGAGAGCAGCAGAACCAAACCUGAGCUCUGAGGAGGGCAUCUGGCACGACCUGAGGGCACUUUCUCCUGUGGAGAUGGACAGUAACCCCCCAGAAGCCAUUUUCAUUAAACCAGUGAAGUUUUAGAAGUUAAUACUUCUGGCCUAAAACUCAUUUCUGCACAUGUCUGGGUGCUGAGCAAGCAGCAGACGUUUUGUCUCUAAUGUCCCAUGGGUGCUGCAGAUGUUACGUGUCUCCUGCUGGUGUGUCUGCAGCAAACAGAGGGCUGUUUGUGCGUGUCCAACCCCAAAUCUGAUGGCACAGGAGCCCCAGGCACAGCGGGGUGAGGACAUCCCUCCAGGCACCGCUCAUCCCAUACGGGUCCAGUGGGAUCUGCUGCUCUGCUGGAGGGCUGACUACUCCAAAGCAGUCCCUUGCAGCAAGUCUGGAGGAAACCCAAACUGGGCUUUACCCAGCACGCACGACAGCCAUCUGCACCUAAGCUUGAGGCGGGCAGCUUUUAAGAAAAAAAAAAAAAACACCAAAAAACACCGGUCAGUUUGGAAAUACUUUA